Tachyglossus aculeatus (Australian echidna) is the source of this 582-nucleotide non-coding RNA. NCBI's taxonomy places the organism in Eukaryota, Metazoa, Chordata, Mammalia, Monotremata, Tachyglossidae. The record is from the annotation of a RefSeq genome assembly.
GGGUCUGCAGUUCUCGACCAAGGGGCAGCAAUAUGUUCUCUAGGGCUCAGCUUCUCUGCCUCUUGCUGCUCUGGGCCCAAGAAUCCGCGGGGGACAUUGUGAUGACACAGACUCCGGAUUCUCUGACAGCGUCUCCCGGAGACACUGUCACCAUCCGCUGCAAAGCCAGUUCCAGUGCCAGCAGCUGGAUGGCUUGGUAUCAACAGAAAUCUGGACAAGCUCUAAAGCUCCUCAUCUACAAGGCUUCCAGCCGCCCCUCUGGGGUCUCAGACCGGUUCAGCGGCAGUGGUUCGGGGACUGACUUCACUUUCACCAUCAGCAGGGUGGAAGCUGACGAUGCUGCCACACUCUGGGCUCUGAGCUCUGGAUCUGCAGCUCUCUACCGACUGGUGGCAACAUGGUCUCCGAAGUUCAGCUCCUCUGCCUCCUGCUACUCUGGUCCCAAGAAUCCACAGGGGACAUCGUGCUCACUCAAACUCCAGACUUCCUGACAGCCACUCCAGGAGAUCAAGUCAAAAUCAACUGCAAAGCCAGUUCUAGUAUCAGCAGUGAGAUGGCCUGGUACCAGCAGAAACCCGGACA